This 305-nucleotide unclassified non-coding RNA is filed under the name plant metagenome. RNAcentral's name for it is "partial contains 5.8S ribosomal RNA, internal transcribed spacer 2, and large subunit ribosomal RNA". The stretch from base 1 to 105 matches the Rfam family "5.8S ribosomal RNA", at positions 50 to 154 of the family's 154-position model. The record is from RNAcentral.
GAAAUGCGAUAAGUAGUGUGAAUUGCAGAAUUCAGUGAAUCAUCGAAUCUUUGAACGCACAUUGCGCCCCUUGGUAUUCCAUGGGGCAUGCCUGUUCGAGCGUCAUCUACACCCUCAAGCUCUGCUUGGUGUUGGGCGUCUGUCCCGCCCCCGCGCGUGGACUCGCCCCAAAUCCAUUGGCAGCAUUCCUUGCCCCCUCUCGCGCAGCACAUUGCGCUUCUCGAGGGCGGCUCCGGGACGCGAUCCAGCAAGAUGACCACCGUCUUUGACCUCGGAUCAGGUAGGGAUACCCGCUGAACUUAAGC